Molecule: long non-coding RNA, 112 nt
Organism: Quercus lobata
Lineage: Eukaryota; Viridiplantae; Streptophyta; Magnoliopsida; Fagales; Fagaceae
Exons: 3
Source: RefSeq, a predicted model, not a curated record
UGUUUAUCUACAACUUUUAUUUGUUAGUUAUGCGAAGGACUGAACCUAUAAAGUUUAGAAGCUGUCUACAAAUUCCAGCAAUAGCAAAUUGAAAAGGAUUAAAAUAAAGGAG